Molecule: transfer RNA, 79 nt
Filed under: Actinomycetota bacterium
Lineage: Bacteria; Bacillati; Actinomycetota
Description: tRNA-Pro
Rfam family: tRNA
About the family: Transfer RNA (tRNA) molecules are approximately 80 nucleotides in length. Their secondary structure includes four short double-helical elements and three loops (D, anti-codon, and T loops).
Source: RNAcentral
CGGGGUGUAGCGCAGCUUGGUUUAGCGCGCCUGCUUUGGGAGCAGGAGGUCGGGGGUUCGAAUCCCUCCACCCCGACCA